UACGUAGGGUGCAAGCGUUUAAUCGGAAUUACUGGGCGUAAAGCGUGCGCAGGCGGCUUUGCAAGACAGAUGUGAAAUCCCCGGGCUUAACCUGGGAACUGCAUUUGUGACUGCAUGGCUGGAGUGCGGCAGAGGGGGAUGGAAUUCCGCGUGUAGCAGUGAAAUGCGUAGAUAUGCGGAGGAACACCGAUGGCGAAGGCAAUCCCCUGGACCUGUACUGACGCUCAUGCACGAAAGCGUGGGGAGCAAACAGG
Molecule: ribosomal RNA, 254 nt
Filed under: uncultured bacterium
Lineage: Bacteria
Description: partial 16S ribosomal RNA
Rfam family: Bacterial small subunit ribosomal RNA
Source: RNAcentral